This 292-nucleotide ribosomal RNA is filed under the name uncultured bacterium. Its description in RNAcentral is "partial 16S ribosomal RNA". It matches the Rfam family "Bacterial small subunit ribosomal RNA", at positions 505 to 796 of the family's 1533-position model. The record is from RNAcentral.
GUGUCAGCAGCCGCGGUAAUACGUAGGUGGCAAGCGUUGUCCGGAAUUAUUGGGCGUAAAGCGCGCGCAGGCGGUUCCUUAAGUCUGAUGUGAAAGCCCCCGGCUCAACCGGGGAGGGUCAUUGGAAACUGGGGAACUUGAGUACUGAAGAGGAAAGCGGAAUUCCACGUGUAGCGGUGAAAUGCGUAGAGAUGUGGAGGAACACCAGUGGCGAAGGCGGCUUUCUGGUCAGUAACUGACGCUGAGGCGCGAAAGCGUGGGGAGCAAACAGGAUUAGAAACCCGCGUAGUCC